This is a long non-coding RNA of Lepidothrix coronata (blue-crowned manakin), 339 nucleotides long. RefSeq lists it as uncharacterized. NCBI's taxonomy places the organism in Eukaryota, Metazoa, Chordata, Aves, Passeriformes, Pipridae. The record is from RefSeq and is a predicted model, not a curated record. The transcript has 3 exons.
AGGCAAAACAAUCCCAAGUGCUUGCUCCUGUAGUGACUUCAGUACUGGUUCUGGAACACCAAAAAAACCACCCCAUUUGACACUAAUCUAAUUCAGGCUCUACAAGUACGAAGAAAAUUAAGUUGGUAAAGUUUAGGAAAAAAGGAGCAGAGAAGUGAUGGAAGGAAUUGAAAGUGAAUGGUGAAUGGUACUUGGAGGAUACAGCAAAACCAGGAAUGCUCAGGAUGAACAAUACUUGUCCAAGUUCCUGGCCCCGGGAUUCGCCACAAGGCAGAGACAGCUGUUAUUUUAGAGCAGAUGUCAUGGACAAAUAAGGGGCAUAAGAAGGACCCAUAAGAG